AUUGAACGCUGGCGGCAUGCUUUACACAUGCAAGUCGAACGGCAGCGCGGGCUUCGGCCUGGCGGCGAGUGGCGAACGGGUGAGUAAUACAUCGGAACGUGCCCAGUAGUGGGGGAUAGCUCGGCGAAAGCCGGAUUAAUACCGCAUACGACCUGAGGGUGAAAGCGGGGGAUCUUCGGACCUCGCGCUAUUGAGCGGCCGAUGGCAGAUUAGCUAGUUGGUGGGGUAAAGGCCUACCAAGGCGACGAUCUGUAGCUGGUCUGAGAGGACGACCAGCCACACUGGGACUGAGACACGGCCCAGACUCCUACGGGAGGCAGCAGUGGGGAAUUUUGGACAAUGGGCGAAAGCCUGAUCCAGCAAUGCCGCGUGUGUGAUGAAGGCCUUCGGGUUGUAAAGCACUUUUGGCGGGAACGAAAAGGACUGUGCCAAUACCACGGUUCGAUGACGGUACCCGCAGAAUAAGCACCGGCUAACUACGUG
RNAcentral lists this ribosomal RNA (483 nucleotides) under uncultured bacterium. RNAcentral describes it as "partial 16S ribosomal RNA". It matches the Rfam family "Bacterial small subunit ribosomal RNA", at positions 29 to 507 of the family's 1533-position model. The record is from RNAcentral.